Molecule: long non-coding RNA, 3555 nt
Filed under: Marmota monax (woodchuck)
Lineage: Eukaryota; Metazoa; Chordata; Mammalia; Rodentia; Sciuridae
Source: RNAcentral
GCAAGCUGUUCUGAGUACACAGCCCGGAGCCACCGCAGAGGACACCAGAGCUCCAGCUAUAAAGGAGCAGGGCUCUGGGGCAUCCCGCCUCUGAGAGCCAGGGGCAGCGGGAGUGCUGGGUCUGGGGCAGCUCCAGCCAGUGGCCCCAGGAAGUGCGAACCUGGCUUUCUAGUGCCGCCUCCGCCUUCUGUUUGGUUGUUGGGGAAAUUGAUCUUUCAGAUAUUUUAGCUGCAUGGGUGGAAAUCCGCACGUGCAGUGUUUUGCUAAGACCCAAAGCCUUCAGGGACUGUUUUGGGAGCAAGUCAGAGGCAGCCUCCACCCUCCCCAAGGGGCUUCAUCUCUGGGCCAGACCUGGGCUGGUGAGGUCUCCUGGACUCCUUGCAGUCACUCUGGGAAUUGAGAGCACCCCCAUUGUCAGGGUGAGUAAACUGAGACUCUGGCGAGUCUUGGUGGGCGUGUCUGGGACGAGUCAGUGGCAGGGGACACUUGUGAGACCCUGAUGGUACGCAGGCAGGGUGGUGGCUGCCACGUAGCUUCUGUGCUGGCCUUUCCUGGUUCUGUUUGAGAAUUAGCAGAACAACAUGCUCACUCAGGGGUCCCUGGUGACAAAUUACAAGCCUUGGCAUAGAGUGGGGGCCAGUCAGUGCUGCUGAUUGAAUCAAAGAACAAUGACCACAGGGGUCCCAAGGUCCAGAUGUGUCUUUCUAACAGUAGCCCAGAGGCGACUACUGCCUAAGGACAGCAAGGGCAGACUGGCAGCCCACAAGUGAGCGUGGGUUGCUGCCCCCCCACCCCCACAUUGCUGAGCACCUCUGCCCGCAGGCCUGUGCUGGGCUCUGGAUGCCUGUGGCCUCCGUCUCCCUCACAGCGGGCAUGCAGGGAGGGCAGAUUAUCAGUGUUUUCAACAAGAGGAACCUGAGACCCUGACAGGUCUUGCUGAAAUUUAUAUAGGGAGUGAAAAAUGAAGCCAUAUGUCUUCCCCCAAUCCCAAAAGCCAACAAGCCGACUGUAGGCUGAAAAAAUCCCAAGUGGAAAGAAAAUGAAUGUCACACACCUAACCUACCAGGCCCUGGAGCUCAGCAGCACAGAACGCGGUGGAGUGUGUGUGGUUUCCCUGUGACCAUGGGGUGGACGGGGGCUACAGCUGCCUGUCAUCUCUAUAGUAUCAUUCCCUAUACAAAUACCCUGGGGAAGCAGCCAGGUUCAAAAUUCAGAGUCCUGAUGCCACUGAAUGGGGCUGGCUUGCAAACCAUCUGGAAGUGGAAAAAUACUGUGAAACCAUUGUGAGUUGUAGACUGCUUGUGCCACAGGGAAGGGACAAGUGAUGGGACAGAAAGGACCAGAGGACAGGAAGGCAGAUUCGGGACCUUGUGGGUGGGGCGGAGUGUUUCUAGCCCGGAGGCCUGGAUCAAAGCUGGGUGCUGGAUCAGACAGGGGGCUGGCAGCUCCUGACGAUUUAUGAAAAGAGAAGGAAUCAUGGAUUUCUACUGGGAAAUACUGGGCUGAGAAGCGAGGUCAGGCUGGAAAUAAGUCAGGAUGAGUUGAGGGCUCGUGUGGCAGCCAAGCUGGGGAGUGUGGUUGGGUUGGUUGGAAGUUAGCAAGAUGGCAGGAUCCAUCCAGCUCAGGAAUGAGUGUGGGGGGAUCUGCUCUCUGUCUGUGAUGUCCUUCUCUUUCCACAGGGCUCAGUCCAAAGGUCUGGACGAAAGGCAGACAGCACACUGCUUGGACCCCUCUCUCCCUAGUUUCUCUGGCUGUCCCAGGCACCUGGGCUUCAGGCUUCUGCAAAGACAAAUCACACAAGUAGGCACUUGUGUUGUGACAUCUCCCACAACCUCAUACUGGCACCAGACACUCCCCCGUCUGAGGGUCUUUUGAGCAUGGGAAGAUCUUCAUUUACACUCAGGAUGAGCUAAGGGACACAUGGAGUUUUGCACCUGGGUAGAAAGAAAGCCAGUGGCAUAUUCAGGGCAGGAUAGUGGGAGGACCCACCUUGGAUGACAGUGAUAAGGGAAUUCAUUUUUAAAUUCAUAGAGAAUUAAAAAAAAACAACAAUAAAAUUUACAGGAAGUUGGCCAACUUUUUAUUAUCACCUUGCACCGGCAAUGGUAAAUCAGUUGUAAAACUUCUGUUGGUCUAAUUUCCAGGUCAUUGUUCCAGUAACUUCUGAGCUUUAAUAAUGUGAUAUGUCAAUAUGUAAUCUUCAUAUUAUUAUAAUUAUCAUUAUCUAAUGCUAAACAUUGCUUUCUAUGAGGAAGUCACAUUAGAGAACUCCCGGCUUUGGAGUUUGUUGUGGUUAAGAUAUGACCUGUUCCCCCAAAAGCUCAUGUGGCAAGGCAGGAAAGUUCAGAGGUGAAACUGUACAAGAGCCACAACCUAAUCAGUGGAGUAAUCCAUUUGCUGGAUUAAUAAUCUGAAUGGAUUACUUAGAGUACUGUAGGUGGGGUGUGGCUGGAGGAAACAGGUGAGGUCGCAUGUCCUUGGAUUAUGUCUUGUCCCGGCUUCUCUCCCCCUCUCUCUGCUUCCUGGCUGCCAUGAGCUGAGUAGCUUUCUUCACCAUGAUGUUGGGCCUCACCUCAGGCCCAGAGCAAUGGAGUCAGCCAGCCACGGACUGAGCCUCUGAAACUUGAGACAAAAUGAACUUUUCCUCCUCUGAGUUGUUUUUGCUGGGUAUUUUGGUCAGUGAUGAAAGGCUGACUCACUCUGAGGUGGUCUCAACAUAGGUAAACUCAGCCAUCUAAUGUUUCUGGGCGUUAAGUCCCCAGGCAAGGAGAGAGGGAGGCCUCAGGGGAACCCAGCGCAGCCCCUGCCUUGCUCCCCGGACUUCCAGCCUCCAGAACCGUGAGAAAAUAAUCACGUGGUGUUUGCUCCUCCCAGUCGUGGAUGUUUUGUUACGGCAGCCCGAGCUGACUGUUGCAAGGUUCCAGGAGCCAUUGGAGGCAGCUGCCAGCUCUGUCAGCUCUGAGCCUGUGGGCAGCUGGCAGGGCUGGGUCCCUGCUGGAAUAUCAGCUCCAGGAGCACACGCUGGGCCGUCUUUUACCUGAUGCCGCUCUACCGGCUCCUCGCGGGCUAUGGGGCUUCUUCAGCAGACCCUCGUCCCGCUUAGGGGCUGGGGAGGUCAGUGAGGGUGAGGAGAGAGAACAGGGCGAGGUCAGGGCAUGGGAGGAAACCUGAGGGCAUUGCAGGGGAGUGUUUAAGAGCCUGGACGGGCCAGAGCCCGGCUCUCACAGUGAAUCCCGGGCCUCCUGUGGGUGCCCAAGAGCCCUUCGGGGUCCCACAGGGGCCUCCCCUUUCCACCUGCAAAUCUGCGUGAGGCUGGGUUUUCUAAAGACAAUUUAACCAAAAUAAUGUUUUGCAGAUUGAGUCAAGAAACAGAGAAUAUGGAACCCGGCUGCCCUUCACCAAGCCAGACACCAGAGACUCUCAAAACCCAAGCAAGGCUGCUCCUCUCACCCAGUUUCUGUUUGGAAAACAUGGCUGGUCUGUAGGGAAUGCAUUAUUGAUGUGAUCAUGCCAUGGCUCAUUGCUAUUGAGUUAAUAAAUACCCUUCAAAUGUCU